GCUGGUAACCUAAGAAAAUCCAUUUUU
RNAcentral lists this non-coding RNA (27 nucleotides) under Rattus norvegicus (Norway rat). Lineage: Eukaryota; Metazoa; Chordata; Mammalia; Rodentia; Muridae. The record is from RNAcentral.